This 492-nucleotide ribosomal RNA is filed under the name uncultured bacterium. Its description in RNAcentral is "partial 16S ribosomal RNA". It matches the Rfam family "Bacterial small subunit ribosomal RNA", at positions 29 to 507 of the family's 1533-position model. The record is from RNAcentral.
AGUGAACGCUGGCGGUAGGCCUAACACAUGCAAGUCGAACGGCAGCACAGUAAGAGCUUGCUCUUACGGGUGGCGAGUGGCGGACGGGUGAGGAAUACAUCGGAAUCUACUUUUUCGUGGGGGAUAACGUAGGGAAACUUACGCUAAUACCGCAUACGACCUACGGGUGAAAGCAGGGGAUCUUCGGACCUUGCGCGAUUGAAUGAGCCGAUGUCGGAUUAGCUAGUUGGCGGGGUAAAGGCCCACCAAGGCGACGAUCCGUAGCUGGUCUGGGAGGAUGAUCAGCCACACUGGAACUGAGACACGGUCCAGACUCCUACGGGAGGAAGCAGUGGGGAAUAUUGGACAAUGGGCGCAAGCCUGAUCCAGCCAUACCGCGUGGGUGAAGAAGGCCUUCGGGUUGUAAAGCCCUUUUGUUGGGAAAGAAAAGCAGCAGGUUAAUACCCCGCUGUUCUGACGGUACCCAAAGAAUAAGCACCGGCUAACUUCGUG